AUGGACUUCGCGGCAACCUAUGGGGGAGAUAGCGAACUUGACAGAGAAGCAGACCAGAAGGAACUGGUGCCCACUAGGCUUCCCCCUAUUAUCUCAGAAGAUGGGAAUUAUUCUGUGCACCAGAAUAGCCACACACGGUACCACGAAGCUGUAAAGAAGGUGUUGUUAAAGACAUUCCCCAAUCAGGUCUUCAGAGUCCCCUUGACUGAUGCUCAGAACUUCAGCUUCUGGCGGUCCCACGAUCCAGGAGUGCGCCCAGAGGAAACCAUGCCAUGGAUCCGAAGCCCCCGCCACUGCCUCAUCAAAAGCCCAAUGACCAGGUUCAUGGAUCACUCUGUUCUUAGUGACAGAAACUUCAGUCUGUAUUGAGCAUGAUGUGUUUGCAGAAGAGCAAGAUGGACUGUGGAAGCAGGGCAAAGAAAGAGAAAGUGGGAGAAGGUGUCCUGGUUCCACUGACUAAUGGGAGGAAGGGAUCACAAAAGCAGAGUAAACAGAUUGGACUAGGA
Ailuropoda melanoleuca (giant panda) is the source of this 506-nucleotide long non-coding RNA. RefSeq annotates it as sperm microtubule inner protein 11. Lineage: Eukaryota; Metazoa; Chordata; Mammalia; Carnivora; Ursidae. The record is from RefSeq and is a predicted model, not a curated record. The transcript is spliced from 5 exons.